UUCGGUAGGGGAGAUCGGAAUUCCUGGUGUAGCGGUGAAAUGCGCAGAUAUCAGGAGGAACACCGGUGGCGAAGGCGGAUCUCUGGGCCGAUACUGACGCUGAGGAGCGAAAGCGUGGGGAGCGAACAGGAUUAGAUACCCUGGUAGUCCACGCCGUAAACGGUGGGCACUAGGUGUGGGCAACAUUCCACGUUGUCCGUGCCGCAGCUAACGCAUUAAGUGCCCCGCCUGGGGAGUACGGCCGCAAGGCUAAAACUCAAAGGAAUUGACGGGGGCCCGCACAAGCGGCGGAGCAUGUGGCUUAAUUCGACGCAACGCGAAGAACCUUACCAAGGCUUGACAUACACCGGAAACGUCCAGAGAUGGGCGCCCCCUUGUGGUCGGUGUACAGGUG
RNAcentral lists this ribosomal RNA (394 nucleotides) under Streptomyces rameus. RNAcentral describes it as "bacterial SSU rRNA". It matches the Rfam family "Bacterial small subunit ribosomal RNA", at positions 647 to 1040 of the family's 1533-position model. Lineage: Bacteria; Bacillati; Actinomycetota; Actinomycetes; Kitasatosporales; Streptomycetaceae. The record is from RNAcentral.